UUUCUGAUGACAUGAGCGCAUUUGGCUCGAGCAUGGUAAUGGAACCCUCCUACCACUAUUCUUGUGGCUGGAAUCUGUUCGUUGCCGUCACUGAUGUAAACAUCCUGCUACCUUACAAUUAUUUUGUCUGAAAAU
This 135-nucleotide small nucleolar RNA is filed under the name Trichophyton rubrum BMU01672. Its description in RNAcentral is "CD-box snoRNA". The record is from RNAcentral. Lineage: Eukaryota; Fungi; Ascomycota; Eurotiomycetes; Onygenales; Arthrodermataceae.